Molecule: small nucleolar RNA, 130 nt
Organism: Dama dama (fallow deer)
Lineage: Eukaryota; Metazoa; Chordata; Mammalia; Artiodactyla; Cervidae
Product: small nucleolar RNA SNORA70
Exons: 1
Source: RefSeq, a predicted model, not a curated record
UUGUAGCCAGUGAAGCUGAUGGUGCUAUUUUUGCUGGGGAGUCCUGCUGUGGCUGCAAACAGCAGCCUCCUGGGUAGUGUAUGAAGCCUGUUGGCUGCAUGGUUUGCCCUAAGGGACCUUUAAGUGAAAG